AUUAGCAGCUAGCCCUCUGCAACUCUCACGUGGUCGCCCACUGAAGCUAAGCAGGGCUGUGCCUGGUCAGUACUUAAAUGGGAGACCACAUGGAAAAGCUAUAGGUUGGUGCUGGAA
Molecule: ribosomal RNA, 117 nt
Filed under: Danio rerio (zebrafish)
Lineage: Eukaryota; Metazoa; Chordata; Actinopteri; Cypriniformes; Danionidae
Source: RNAcentral